This 395-nucleotide ribosomal RNA is filed under the name uncultured soil bacterium. Its description in RNAcentral is "bacterial SSU rRNA". It matches the Rfam family "Bacterial small subunit ribosomal RNA", at positions 26 to 425 of the family's 1533-position model. The record is from RNAcentral.
AGAUUGAACGCUGGCGGCAGGCCUAACACAUGCAAGUCGAGCGGUAGAGAGGUGCUUGCAUCUCUUGAGAGCGGCGGACGGGUGAGUAAUGCCUAGGAAUCUGCCUAGUGGUGGGGGAUAACGUUCGGAAACGGACGCUAAUACCGCGUACGUCCUACGGGAGAAAGCGGGGGACCUUCGGGCCUCGCGCCAUUAGAUGAGCCUAGGUCGGAUUAGCUAGUUGGUGAGGUAAUGGCUCACCAAGGCGACGAUCCGUAACUGGUCUGAGAGGAUGAUCAGUCACACUGGAACUGAGACACGGUCCAGACUCCUACGGGAGCAGCAGUGGGGAAUAUUGGACAAUGGGCGAAAGCCUGAUCCAGCCAUGCCGCGUGUGUGAAGAGGUCUUCGGAUUG